UCUCUCUCUCUCUCUCUCUCUCUCUCUCUCUCUCUCUCUCUCUCUCUCUAUUGUUUCCAUAAUCAGCGGAAAUCAAUAUUGCUUGCAGCUUUAUUGUCGAAUCCGUCAAAGGAAGAGAGAGGAUGGGAAGAGGGAAGAUUGUGAUAAGGAGGAUCGAUAACUCGACGAGCCGACAAGUGACGUUUUCGAAGAGAAGAAACGGAUUGCUUAAGAAAGCCAAAGAGCUUUCGAUCCUUUGUGAUGCGGAAGUUGGUGUCAUUAUCUUUUCGAGCACCGGCAAGCUCUAUGAUUACGCCGGCAAUUCUAGCAUGAAGUGUAUCAUUGAGCGCUAUAACAAAAUAAAAGAGGAGCAACAUCAACUACUAAAUCCUGCUUCAGAGAUAAAGGUACGCAUAUUUUCUUGUGUAACAUUUAAUUUAAAUGAUUUAAAUUUUUUUGAGAACAUGCUUAUAAUUAUUUAUAGAUUAUCCUUGAUUUCAUUGACUUUCCUCAUGUUAUUUUGAAUAUUUUCUGUUCGACUAUA
Molecule: long non-coding RNA, 523 nt
Organism: Tarenaya hassleriana
Lineage: Eukaryota; Viridiplantae; Streptophyta; Magnoliopsida; Brassicales; Cleomaceae
Exons: 3
Source: RefSeq, a predicted model, not a curated record